RNAcentral lists this ribosomal RNA (119 nucleotides) under Candidatus Schmidhempelia bombi. The record is from RNAcentral. Lineage: Bacteria; Pseudomonadati; Pseudomonadota; Gammaproteobacteria; Orbales; Orbaceae.
UAUCUGGCGGCAUUAGCGCGGUGGUCCCACCUGAUCCCAUGCCGAACUCAGAAGUGAAACGCCGUAGCGCCGAUGGUAGUGUGGGGACACCCCAUGUGAGAGUAGGACACCGCCAGAUU